ACCUGGGUGGCUCAGUCGGUUGAGCGUCCGACUUCAGCUCAGGUCAUGAUCUCACAGUUUGUGGGUUCAAGCCCCGCAUCAGGCU
RNAcentral lists this transfer RNA (85 nucleotides) under Felis catus (domestic cat). It matches the Rfam family "tRNA". From Rfam's summary of the family: Transfer RNA (tRNA) molecules are approximately 80 nucleotides in length. Their secondary structure includes four short double-helical elements and three loops (D, anti-codon, and T loops). Lineage: Eukaryota; Metazoa; Chordata; Mammalia; Carnivora; Felidae. The record is from Rfam by way of RNAcentral.